Long non-coding RNA from Symphalangus syndactylus (siamang), 157 nucleotides. RefSeq lists it as uncharacterized. The record is from RefSeq and is a predicted model, not a curated record. Lineage: Eukaryota; Metazoa; Chordata; Mammalia; Primates; Hylobatidae.
UUUUGCCUUACACACAGAGCAGACACAAACUUCUGCGAUCAACAAACUCAGGACAUUUAAUCUGUUCGUUUUGAGAGACAGGACCAGCUGGAUUUCCUAGGCCAACUAAGAAUCCCUAAGCCUAGCUGGGAAGGGCUGUUGAAAUGCAUCUCGGGCC